GCAGCCACUGCUUUGGGACUGGCUGGGAGAGUGGUGAGCAAUUGCAUUUGUCAUCAUCCCCUGUGCUUCAGCAGGGACUUCUGUGCUUUGUACAUAUUGAUCAAGUGAAUAGUUUUCAUAUCCUAGACCUAUGAUUCCUCUACUUGAAAAUUAUGAACUAUGGAAUUUGAGUGAAAAUGUCCUACACUUUAAGUCCCCCAUAUGGAACCACACUGCUGCGAAGCAACCCAUGCUGGUCCUGUGUGUUCUUCGGUAAGAGGGCUUUGAAGGCUGCAGAGCUCACGUGUUGUCUUCGUCCCUCCGGAUGAACUUGGGGACUGGGUGAGGACUCGUUAGUGGGUGUUCCCCACUUUGUGUCACCAUAUGCAAUCCUGGACAGCGUACUUUGACCCACACAUCUCAACGCUUGUAUGCAUACAAAAAUUAGUGAGAAAAAAAGUAAUAAAAGGGCAGGAAUGAGAGAAACCUGUCUUUGAAAAUAAAAAUCUACUUCUCCAUCUAUAUGUUUUUCCUGUUCUGCCUGAUAUAUGGGAACCGCACUGAAGUACCCGAGCCUGCUACAUUUCUUGCCUUAGCUGUCUUUACAAAGUUCAUGUUGUUAGGCAGUUCUGGAGCUACCUGUCAGUUUGCUGAAUUUUAUAAAGGGAGUCUGCAGCAGAAGAUUCUGGCAUAUCCCCUAGCCAGUGGGUUGUGCUGUAAAAUUGUUUGGAGUUGGAAAUUAGUGGGGUGACAAAUGCCAAGGAGAUUAUUGAUCCACUAUUAGAGAAGUUAUGUGGUACAAAGUCAACUAAUUUAACUCUUGUGUUGUGGAAUGGCCUUGUUGAGUGUUGUGCCAGCUUAAUUCUUGCCUUGUAAAAUGUACCAUUUUAACCAAACGUUUGACAGUUUAUAUAGACAAGAAAUAAAUUAAAGCUUUAGAGAUAAAGC
This is a long non-coding RNA of Gallus gallus (chicken), 927 nucleotides long. RefSeq lists it as uncharacterized. NCBI's taxonomy places the organism in Eukaryota, Metazoa, Chordata, Aves, Galliformes, Phasianidae. The transcript has 3 exons. The record is from RefSeq and is a predicted model, not a curated record.